UGAAUACGAGACGCUAAGGCGUCGAAGUAGUGUAUGUCAUACUUCCAAGAAAAGCUUGCACUGUCAUAAGUAAAAAAUGCCUGUACCAUAACCGACACAGGUGGGUAGGUAGAGUAUACUAAGGGGCGCGAGAUAACUCUCUCUAAGGAACUCGGCAAAAUAACUCCGUAACUUCGGGAGAAGGAGUACCUUAUUCUAUAAGGUUGCAAUAACAAGAUCCAAGCAACUGUUUAUCAAAAACACAGGUCUCCGCUAAGUCGUAAGACGAUGUAUGGGGGCUGACGCCUGCCCUGUGCCAGAAGGUUAAAGAAGUCGGUUAGCAUUAGCGAAGCUGGUAACUGAAGCCCUGGUGAACGGCGGCCGUAACAAUAACGGUCCUAAGGUAGCGAAAUUCCUUGUCGGGUAAGUUCCGACCCGCACGAAAGGCGUAAUGAUUUGGAUACUGUCUCGGAGAGGGGCUCGGUGAAAUAGACUUGUCUGUGAAGAUGCGGACUACCUGCACCAGGACAGAAAGACCCCAUGAAGCUUUACUGUAACUUGAAAUUGAAAUUGGACUUUAUUCGCGCAGUAUAGGUGGGAGGUGUUGAUUAUAAUCUUGCGGGAUUAUUGGAGCCAUCAGUGAGAUACCACUCUUGUAAUGUUAGAUCUCUAACUUUGAAUCAUUAUCUGGUCAAAGGACAGUUUCAGGCGGGCAGUUUGACUGGGGCGGUCGCCUCCCAAACGGUAACGGAGGCGUACAAAGGUUUCCUCUGAACGGGUAGAAAUCGUAUCUAGAGUGUAAAGGCAUAAGGAAGCUUGACUGUGAGACCUACAAGUCGAACAGGGACGAAAGUCGGUCUUAGUGAUCUGACGGUACUGAGUGGAAAGGCCGUCACUCAACGGAUAAAAGUUACUCUAGGAUAACAGGCCGAUCUCCCCCAAGAGUUCACAUCGACGGGGAGGUUUGGCACCUCGAUGUCGGCUCAUCGCAUCCUGGGGCGGCAGUACGUCCCAAGGGUUGGGCUGUUCGCCCAUGAAAGUGGUACGCGAGCUGGGUUCAGAACGUCGUGAGACAGUUCGGUCCAUAUCCGGUGUAGGCGUUAGAAUAUUGAGAGGAGCCUUCUUUAGUACGAGAGGACCGAGAAGGACAUACCUCUGGUGUACCAGUUAUCGUGCCAACGGUAAACGCUGGGUAGCUAUGUAUGGAGUGGAUAACCGCUGAAAGCAUCUAAGUGGGAAGCCCACCUCAAGAUAAGUAUUC
This 1240-nucleotide ribosomal RNA is filed under the name metagenome. RNAcentral's name for it is "bacterial LSU rRNA". It matches the Rfam family "Bacterial large subunit ribosomal RNA", at positions 1564 to 2813 of the family's 2925-position model. The record is from RNAcentral.